UAUAUGAUAAAAUCAUCUUCCUUCAUGGCAAAGGAGAGAGACUGCAAAACUAUAACGAGGAUUUCUCUACAUUGUUGUUAAUUAUAAGGUUGAUAAUAUAAUGUGGAAUUUUAUCCCACAAAAAAAAAAAAAAAAAAAUUGUGAUAGGGAAGAUUCUAUUAAAAUCACCAAAUUUUCUGCGUUUUUUAUAUAUAAGAAAAAAUACAGAAACUAAUUAUGUCAUCCAUAUACUGUAAGUACAAACAACAGCUGUCAUGUUUCCGUACUUGACUGUGAAAUUGAUGAUGCUU
RNAcentral lists this long non-coding RNA (290 nucleotides) under Capsella rubella. RNAcentral describes it as "long non-coding RNA (CRUB_LNC003526)". The record is from RNAcentral. Lineage: Eukaryota; Viridiplantae; Streptophyta; Magnoliopsida; Brassicales; Brassicaceae.